GUGCCCACAGCAGUGGGAGGGACGGGCCAGCCCCUGGGGGGCCAGUGCUGCUCUGGGAAGAGCUGUGGGGAGUUCUCACUGCCAGAGUUCUCUUCUGAUGGCAUCCUCCUCCUUGGUGAAGUAGGAAGCAAGGUGAUUAACUGAGAGAAAGAAGGGAGGAGGAGAGGCAGCGGAGGCCUUAGGAGGUGCCAGUGUGAAGUAGCUGUGAGAGCUGGGGAGGAGUGGACAGGGGUAGCACUGAGGGCCCGUUAGCCGACAGGGCUCAGGAGUACACGUGUGAACUCACCCCGCGUGGCCACUGCUGGCCCUUCCGUGAUCCAAAAGCAGCUUUCCGCACUUGAGCAUCUCUGACACAGGGCUGCUUCCCACAGUCAGUGAGGCACCCAAACGGGUGCAUGUUUGACAGUGGGUGGUCUCACCAAGGGCUGGGCCAUAUAUAUUUGUACACUCAUCUAGACCUCAUGACCCUGGAUGUAGGUCCUUUUAUUGUUGCUAUUUCACAUAGAGAUUAGAGAAUUGUAGGGACGAGGCUGGGUGACCAGAGACAGAGGGGGCAGAUAGCCAGGAGCCCUGGGCCUCUGUUGGGUCCCAGCUCAGCACAUUGAGGGAGAGAAAAGGGUGGGAAAGAUAAUGCCCCAGGAGCAAGGAGAAUUCCAUGGAGAAUUCCGGUGUGAACAGUAGGAGGGAAAAGGAAGAAUACACACACACGCAGUGUGUGUGUGCAUGUGUGUGCAUUGUAAUAUACGUGCUUUUAUAUAUUGCUGGUGCUUGCAUAAGCACUGUUGGAGGGGUACCUAGGAAGCUGAUGUUGUUUCCUCUGAGGAAGGAGAACUGGGCUUCUGGGAUCUGAGGUGAGGAAAAGGAGACCUCAGGACAAAGGGUGUAUGUAAGUCCCAAAGGCCUAAGAAUAGAGGUUAAUAACCCUAACCCACUAUUAGAGCAAGGGCCUCUCUGCAGGAAGAUGAAGGUGGCCCAGUCUGGUGAUCAGAGGGCGGGUUCUGGAGCCAGAUGCUCUAGUCCAGAUCCCAACUCAUCACCCAGCAGCUGGUCCAGUUCCUUGAUUCUCAGGACCCUCAUCCACAGCUGUGAGAGGGGCUGAACAAAGGCAGCACUUCCUGGAGCUAUCAGGAGAGCUGGUGGGACCCCUCCUGGCCAUGGGAAAGCGCAUGGUAAGCAUUAGCUAUUAUUAUCCUCAUCCACUGUGAGGGUGACACUGUUCUUGAGCAGUGGGGAUCCAGCACUCCAGUGCCAUCUGGUGUCUCGUGGCCCUGUCUGGC
Molecule: long non-coding RNA, 1277 nt
Filed under: Marmota monax (woodchuck)
Lineage: Eukaryota; Metazoa; Chordata; Mammalia; Rodentia; Sciuridae
Source: RNAcentral